UAGGGAAUCUUCGGCAAUGGGGGCAACCCUGACCGAGCAACGCCGCGUGAGUGAAGAAGGUUUUCGGAUCGUAAAGCUCUGUUGUAAGUCAAGAACGAGUGUGAGAGUGGAAAGUUCACACUGUGACGGUAGCUUACCAGAAAGGGACGGCUAACUACGUGCCAGCAGCCGCGGUAAUACGUAGGUCCCGAGCGUUGUCCGGAUUUAUUGGGCGUAAAGCGAGCGCAGGCGGUUUGAUAAGUCUGAAGUUAAAGGCUGUGGCUCAACCAUAGUUCGCUUUGGAAACUGUCAAACUUGAGUGCAGAAGGGGAGAGUGGAAUUCCAUGUGUAGCGGUGAAAUGCGUAGAUAUAUGGAGGAACACCGGUGGCGAAAGCGGCUCUCUGGUCUGUAACUGACGCUGAGGCUCGAAAGCGUGGGGAGCGAACAGGAUUAGAUACCCUGGUAGUCUACGCCGUAACGAUGAGUGCUAGGUGUUGGAUCCUUUCCGGGAUUCAGUGCCGCAGCUAACGCAUUAAGCACUCCGCCUGGGGAGUACGACCGCAAGGUU
This 548-nucleotide ribosomal RNA is filed under the name uncultured bacterium. Its description in RNAcentral is "bacterial SSU rRNA". It matches the Rfam family "Bacterial small subunit ribosomal RNA", at positions 355 to 895 of the family's 1533-position model. The record is from RNAcentral.